GACGAACGCUGGCGGCGUGCUUAACACAUGCAAGUCGAACGGUAAGGCCCUUCGGGGUACACGAGUGGCGAACGGGUGAGUAACACGUGGGUGAUCUGCCCUGCACUUCAGGAUAAGCCUGGGAAACUGGGUCUAAUACCGGAUAGGACUCCGGACUGCAUGGUCUGGGGUGGAAAGCUUUUGCGGUGUGGGAUGGGCCUGCGGCCUAUCAGCUUGUUGGUGGGGUGAUGGCCUACCAAGGCGACGACGGGUAGCCGGCCUGGGGGGGUGACCGGCCACACUGGGACUGAGAUACGGCCCAGACUCCUACGGGAGGGAGCAGUGGGGAAUAUUGCACAAUGGGCGCAAGCCUGAUGCAGCGACGCCGCGUGAGGGAUGACGGCCUUCGGGUUGUAAACCUCUUUCAGCACCGACGAAGCGCAAGUGACGGUAGGUGCAGAAGAAGGACCGGCCAACUACGUGCCAGCCGCCGCGGUAA
Molecule: ribosomal RNA, 478 nt
Filed under: uncultured bacterium
Lineage: Bacteria
Description: partial 16S ribosomal RNA
Rfam family: Bacterial small subunit ribosomal RNA
Source: RNAcentral